This 674-nucleotide ribosomal RNA is filed under the name uncultured bacterium. Its description in RNAcentral is "bacterial SSU rRNA". It matches the Rfam family "Bacterial small subunit ribosomal RNA", at positions 45 to 725 of the family's 1533-position model. The record is from RNAcentral.
GGCUAAUACAUGCAAGUCGAACGGUCAGUAGCAAUACUGAUAGUGGCGCACGGGUGCGUAACGCGUAACCAACCUACCCGAAUCUGGGGGAUAGCCCGCCGAAAGGCGGAUUAAUACCGCAUAAAACUGCAGCACGGCAUCGUGUAACAGUUAAAGAUUUAUUGGAUUCGGAUGGGGUUGCGUGCCAUUAGCUAGUUGGGGAGGUAACGGCUCACCAAGGCGACGAUGGCUAGGGGAGCUGAGAGGCUGGUCCCCCACACGGGCACUGAGAUACGGGCCCGACUCCUACGGGAGGCAGCAGUAGGGAAUAUUGGGCAAUGGACGAGAGUCUGACCCAGCCAUGCCGCGUGCAGGAUGAAGGCUUUCUGAGUCGUAAACUGCUUUUAUCAGGGAAGAAAAAAGGGGAUGCGUCCUCUACUGACGGUACCUGAUGAAUAAGCACCGGCUAACUCCGUGCCAGCAGCCGCGGUAAUACGGAGGGUGCAAGCGUUGUCCGGAUUUAUUGGGUUUAAAGGGUGCGUAGGCGGUUCUUUAAGUCCGGGGUGAAAGCCCACUGCUCAACAGUGGAACUGCCCUGGAAACUGGCGAACUUGAGUACAGACGAGGGUGGCGGAAUGGAUACUGUAGCGGUGAAAUGCAUAGAUAGUAUCCAGAACCCCGAUUGCGAAGGCAGC